GGAGACUCAUAUUUAAGUAAGGAGAAACAGGAAGUGUCCCUUUUCCCCUCCGCUCUUCCUCCAGCAGCACAAUGUGAUCCACCAGCAAGGAAUGACACCAAUGGAAGGUGUCCAAUAAGGUGGCAGGCAGAACACUGGCAGCUGGCAGAGACCUCCCACGUGGCGGUAGAACUAGGGUGUCUUUUGGCGGAAAGAUUUAUCAUAACACUGGACUCUGACUACUGGGUGAACCUUACACAAACCCCUUAGCUUUGUUCCUUCUUCAACUCUCAAGUGGCAUGUUGACUAGGAUGAUUCGUUCGGAGGCUCCUCCAGCCCUCAACAUUCUGACAGAUGCCAGAGGGUAAAAUCACUGUAUCAAUGGGUGGCUCUUCAUACAUAAUGCGUAAUUAUCCCCCAGAAAUUGUCAAGCAGUUUAUACAUCCAACCCAGAAUCGGCAAGGGAAAUGCAACCACAGGUGAGGCGAAGAAAAACGUCUCAACGGCCAACGCAAGCAGCAAGCAGAGCCUUCAUCCAGUAGCUGAUGGAAGCAGAAGCAGACACCCACAGCUAAACACUGAGCUGAACUCCUGGAAUCGAAUUGCAGAGAGGGAGGAAUGGGUAAAGAACAUUAUUGCAAUACUUGUCUCUUCACAACUUGCCUGAACAGAAGAGGACACAGAAAGAUGAAUGAUAUAUCACUGCAUGAUAAAUUGAAUUAAGAGAAGAUCUUUGAGAAACACACAGGAAAAUAAGCUUUCAUCCAGUAGCUGCUGGAAGCAGAAGCAGACAUCCACAGCAAAACAUUGAGCUGAACUCUAAAAUCCAGUUGCAGAGAUGGAGGAGUGACGAGCAAGGCUGGAGAAACCCACAAAAACAGCUGACCAGAACAAGGGGUUGCUCAUGGACCCGAGACUGAUAUAGCUGGGAAACCAGCAUAGGACUGCUCCAGACCCCCUGAAGGGGAAAGCCACUUUGGAGUCUGGACAAUCUAUGGGGCCACUGGCAGUGGAUCAGUAUUUACUCCUAGUACACAAAUGGACUUUGGGAGCCCUCUCCACACAGAAGGAUACUCUCUCAGCCUAGACACACUGGAGAGGAUCUAGGCGCUGCUCCAAAUAUGACAGACUUUUAAGAUCCCCCAUGGUAGGCCUCGCCCUCCCUGGGGAGCAGAAAGGGUUUGGGAAAAAGGGUGGGGGGAGCGGGCAGGGGAAGAGGGGAGGGAGAGGGAACUGAGAUUGACAUGUAGAAGAAGCUUGUUUCUAAUUUAAAUUUAAAAAGAAAAGAAAUAAAAUAAAAUAUAGCAUUCUAAAAAAAGGAAGAAAAAUAAAAAAAAUAAGAAUUGCCAUUGAAGCAUCACUAUGUCCACAAACUAAGAUCAAAAUACACAUUUCUUUUAAAAAGAGCCUUAUUAAACCAGGCAUGGUGGUUUAUGCCUUUAAUCCCAGCGCUGAGGAGGCAAAGGCAAGCAGAUCACUGUGAGUUCAAGACCAGCCUAGUCUACUUGUAAGUUUCAGGGCUUCACAGUAAGAUCCUGUCUCAAAAAGAAGAGAAGAAGGGAAGAAGAAAAGAAGAAAGAAAGAGAGAUAGAGUAUAAAGAAAACGAAAUUAUGUCAGGUAGUGAUAACAUUAUUAAUAAUUCCAUAACAUGAGUAUAAGGAAAGUAUCAAAAUCAGGUAAUGUUCCUAUUAGUCAUGUGUGCAUCUACACACAGGAGUGCAUGCACACAGAGAGAUGCAACAACUAUCAUAAGUUUAAAACAGUGUUCAGACACACUUGCCAAGACAAACCAGCCACAAAAUGCAGCAUCUCACCAGACAUAUACCAUUUGUUGCAUAGGAUUAUCUAUAAAAAGUGAAUUUAAAGCUGAUUGCUAUAUCCAAAAUAUUAACACUGGUUUUAUUUUUUAAGUUAAUAUUUUAUUCAUUUUUUGGGAAGAGGGGUGCAUGGCUCACAUGUGGAAGUCAGAGGACAACUUGUAGACAUCCAUUCUCUCCUUCCACUGCUUGGGUCCAGGGACGGAACUCAAUCAUCGGGUUGUGUGGCAAGUGCCUUUACCUUGUGAGCCACACAUCCCCUCACUGGUUUUGGGAGGAUUGUUUCAGUUACAGAAUUAUGGUGUGAUUCCUUCUUGACUCCCAGAAGCAAAAGCACAUCACCAGUUCACUGAUGACCUUGGGUGCAAGAAGUUGAUAUUAUCCCAGUUCUAUUCCCUCAGUUCUGCUCAAGGGAAAAUGGUACUGAAGUCAAUGACAUUUCAUUUGCCACAGUACCAAGAAGUCAUGUUGAAGGAUGUGUGAGUGGCAUGGUCUGCUGGAUUUGGGGGCCCACUGUAUUCACUGGGGGUCAGCACAGCCUCUCAAGAACUCUUCUGCCCUCUGUGUGGAUAAUGGAACACUGAGACAUGGGAAACUAAAGGCAUAACCUAAAAUCGUCAUCCUUUGAGCCACCUAAAGAUCUCCUCUACUAUUUAGAGUAUUGAGAACCUUGUGAAAUAUAAACUAGCAUAUCCGUGAUGGAGAAUGGUAUGAAGCUUCCUCAAAAACAAAACAAAAACUACUACCAUUACACCAAAAAAAGUGCAAUGAUAUGUGUGUAUAAAAUAUUCAUUACCUAUAUGCUAACUAAAAAUAUUUAGUAAAGAGGGAAGAAAGAACUCUCAUGUGAUUCAAUACUGGGUAUGUAUUGAAAAGAAAUUAAAUCCAUAUAAUGAAAAGAUAUAUGAACUCCCAUGUUUACUAAAACACUAUCAGACUAUCAGUCAUGGCCAAUAUGUAGAACGAACAAAAUAGUCUAUAAAUGGAUGAAUGGAUAAAGAAAUUCUGUUAUACAUAUGAAAUGGAAUAUUACUCAGCAGUAUAAAAGGAUGAAACCCUGGCAUUUGGAUGGAACAUUAUGUUUAGUGUAAUAUGAAGAGAACAAAAAAUACCAUGUAUUCUCUUUCAUAUGCAGAAGCUUAUGGAAUUGAUUUCCUGACAUUGGAAACUAUAACAAUGGUUACUAGAGGCUAAGAUGAGCAAGGAACAAGGAGGAUAUCGGGACAUUGCACGAAAAUAAGUAAUAAAAAAAAAAGUACCAAUGUUCUGUGUAUUGCAAUGAGAAUACAAAAAAUACCACUUAUAUAUUCUAUAAGGAAAUAGAAAAGAGAAG
Molecule: long non-coding RNA, 3130 nt
Filed under: Cricetulus griseus (Chinese hamster)
Lineage: Eukaryota; Metazoa; Chordata; Mammalia; Rodentia; Cricetidae
Description: lncRNA (ENSCGRG00015039825.1)
Source: RNAcentral